RNAcentral lists this ribosomal RNA (253 nucleotides) under uncultured bacterium. RNAcentral's name for it is "partial 16S ribosomal RNA". It matches the Rfam family "Bacterial small subunit ribosomal RNA", at positions 524 to 776 of the family's 1533-position model. The record is from RNAcentral.
UACAGAGGGUGCGAGCGUUAAUCGGAAUGACUGGGCGUAAAGGGCGUGUAGGCGGGCUUGUAAGUCAGAUGUGAAAGUCCUGGGCUUAACCUGGGGAUUGCAUAUGAAACUGUGAGUCUUGAGUGAAGUAGAGGGUGGCGGAAUUUCCGGUGUAGCGGUGAAAUGCGUAGAUAUCGGAAGGAACACCAGUGGCGAAGGAGGCCACCGGGGCUUUAACUGACGCUGAGGCGCGAAAGCGUGGGUAGCAAACAGG